Molecule: ribosomal RNA, 468 nt
Filed under: uncultured bacterium
Lineage: Bacteria
Description: partial 16S ribosomal RNA
Rfam family: Bacterial small subunit ribosomal RNA
Source: RNAcentral
GACGAACGAGGGAGGAGGGAAGAACACAGGCAAGUCGAACGGAAAGGCCCUGCUUUUGUGGGGUGCUCGAGUGGCGAACGGGUGAGUAACACGUGAGUAACCUGCCCUUGACUUUGGGAUAACUUCAGGAAACUGGGGCUAAUACCGGAUAGGAGCUCCUGCUGCAUGGUGGGGGUUGGAAAGUUUCGGCGGUUGGGGAUGGACUCGCGGCUUAUCAGCUUGUUGGUGGGGUAGUGGCUUACCAAGGCUUUGACGGGUAGCCGGCCUGAGAGGGUGACCGGCCACAUUGGGACUGAGAUACGGCCCAGACUCCUACGGGAGGCAGCAGUGGGGAAUAUUGCACAAUGGGCGGAAGCCUGAUGCAGCAACGCCGCGUGCGGGAUGACGGCCUUCGGGUUGUAAACCGCUUUCGCCUGUGACGAAGCGUGAGUGACGGUAAUGGGUAAAGAAGCACCGGCUAACUACGUG